GGGGCAUUAAGCCCACCAGUUCAGUUUAGUUCCAGCUGCCUAAGUGGAUACAUCUGCAUUUUUCUGAGAUGACAUCAAGAGGCUGCAAGCAUUCGGCAGACGCAUUUUGCUAUGUCUGUGGGCAAUUUUUUUAAGACAAGAGUGAAAAAGUACUCUGUGGAAGUAACUGCUAAGAUGUGUGAGGCCGACAAAGCAUUUUUCGACAUGCCUGUCGGGGAUCAAGACAAACCCUGGGCACCUAAUUUCACCUGCGAGCAAUGCAAAAAAACUCUGGAAGGAUGGUACAGAGGGGAAAAGAGAGCCAUGAAGUUCGCUAUCCCAAUAAUUUGGCGGGAACCCACUGACCACUCAAGCAACUGCUACUUCUGCAUGGUGGACCCUUCCAAACGUCGGACUGGCAAGAAUGCGCCUGCUAUCACGUAUCAGGACCUUCCGUCAUCCAUCGCCACACUGCCAUGAGCUCCCCGUACCCACUCCUCCGGAGAGAGAGCAGCCGUCUUUAGAAGAGAGCAGCAAGUCAGAGGGCGAGGAAGACGUAGAUCCAGAUGACAAUUUCAGAGGUGGAGCUGAGGAGAGAACCCCAUAAUACCCUAACUAAAAAUACCUCAACGACUUGAUCAGAGAUAUUGGUCUCACCAAGGCGCACGACCACAGGCGGGACUUGCCACAGCGGACCGAAUUCUCUGUGGGGAGGAACAACGUCAUGUGGGAGCCACUGGUGGACCCCCAGAAGGUGCUGAUGCCACAACUGCACAUCAAAUUGGGCCUUAUGAAACAAUUUGUCAGAGCUGUAGGUAAGGAGUUGGCAGCCUUCCAAGUACCUUCAAGACUUCUUCCCUAAGCUGUCUGAGGCAAAGGUCAAAGCCGGUGUCUUCGUCGGACCACAGAUAAAGAAGAUCCUGGAGUGCAAUGAAUUCCCCAAGGAGCUCAAUAGAAUUGGUAAACAUGCCGAGACCUUCAACUCGUCAACACUUGAGAAGCUGGCUUCAUCACAUACUCCGGCUGAAACCUCGAAUCGAAACCCAGGACCUAGGCAGUGCCUGCUCUGCGCCAUGACCUCCGAAAUGCGGCCGAGUGAUCUUCAAAAAGGGCGCAGCGAAGAGAGCGUUCGAAACAAUCGCAGCCGAGCCGACGGCGAAGAACGUCCCCCCCCCCCCGGGGGAGGACUCCCCACCAAACCUCGCCGCCAACAACGGCGCGGUGGAUUUGUUUGUGGGAGUUCACACGGACGGACACGCCACGCGAUGAAAUGUUCACACCGCCAAGUGUGCGCUCGCAAGUCCGUCGUGUUUUUUGUUUUACCGCUCUCUGCGAACGUACGAGCCCCGCGGACGGAUAGAGAACAAGAUGCACCUCUUUCGGCAGCAGA
This is a long non-coding RNA of Lethenteron reissneri (Far Eastern brook lamprey), 1369 nucleotides long. RefSeq lists it as uncharacterized. NCBI's taxonomy places the organism in Eukaryota, Metazoa, Chordata, Hyperoartia, Petromyzontiformes, Petromyzontidae. The record is from RefSeq and is a predicted model, not a curated record.